UACGUAGGGACCGAGCGUUGUCCGGAAUCAUUGGGCGUAAAGGGUGCGUAGGCGGGUCUUUAAGUCAGGGGUGAAAUCCUGGAGCUCAACUCCAGAACUGCCUUUGAUACUGAGGAUCUUGAGUUCGGGAGAGGUGAGUGGAACUGCGAGUGUAGAGGUGAAAUUCGUAGAUAUUCGCAAGAACACCAGUGGCGAAGGCGGCUCACUGGCCCGAUACUGACGCUGAGGCACGAAAGCGUGGGGAGCAAACAGG
This 253-nucleotide ribosomal RNA is filed under the name uncultured bacterium. Its description in RNAcentral is "partial 16S ribosomal RNA". It matches the Rfam family "Bacterial small subunit ribosomal RNA", at positions 524 to 776 of the family's 1533-position model. The record is from RNAcentral.